GCCAGGCGUGGUGGCUCAUGCCUGUAAUCCCAGCUACUCAGGAGGCUGAGGCAGGAGAAUCGCUUGAACCCAGGAAGCAGAGGUUGCAGUGAGCCGAGAUAGUGCCACUGCACUCCCGCCUGGGUGACAGAGCGAGACUCUGUCUCAA
Molecule: signal recognition particle RNA, 148 nt
Filed under: Pan troglodytes (chimpanzee)
Lineage: Eukaryota; Metazoa; Chordata; Mammalia; Primates; Hominidae
Description: Metazoan signal recognition particle RNA
Rfam family: Metazoan signal recognition particle RNA
About the family: The signal recognition particle (SRP) is a universally conserved ribonucleoprotein. It is involved in the co-translational targeting of proteins to membranes.
Source: Rfam by way of RNAcentral